This 253-nucleotide ribosomal RNA is filed under the name uncultured bacterium. Its description in RNAcentral is "partial 16S ribosomal RNA". It matches the Rfam family "Bacterial small subunit ribosomal RNA", at positions 524 to 776 of the family's 1533-position model. The record is from RNAcentral.
GACGAACCGUGCGAACGUUGUUCGGAUUCACUGGGCUUAAAGGGCGCGUAGGCGGAUUGCCAAGUCAGGGGUGAAAUCUUUCGGCUUAACCGGAAAACUGCCCCUGAUACUGGCAGUCUUGAGGGAGGUAGGGGUCUGUGGAACUUCUGGUGGAGCGGUGAAAUGCGUAGAUAUCAGAAGGAACGCCGGUGGCGAAAGCGACGGACUGGACCUCCUCUGACGCUGAGGCGCGAAAGCUAGGGGAGAGAACGGG